AUGCUAGUUCGUUCAUCUUCUAUGGCGCGCAUCGGCCACUAAGUACGCCCACGGUGUGGGUCUUCAGCGCUGCAACCAACAAGGAGUUCUUGUCGUUUGUGACGUCAAUGCCUUCAAAGAAGGCCUCCAGUCGAACUUGCAUUCUGGGCGCUACACAGCGGAGAAGCCAAGAGGGCAAAGCCCCGGCUAAAAGUUGAAUGACAUGGCAGCGAAAGAGCUUGUCGUGGCACCUUGUGGUGGCCACAGUGGACUGUGCUACGCCGCAAGCCACUGCUAUCUCGGAGGCCACAUGCAGCUGACGCACCUAUGCACAUUGCAACAAUAAAAUGACUUUUCUGUCUUUUUGA
Molecule: long non-coding RNA, 347 nt
Organism: Dermacentor albipictus
Lineage: Eukaryota; Metazoa; Arthropoda; Arachnida; Ixodida; Ixodidae
Source: RefSeq, a predicted model, not a curated record